Molecule: ribosomal RNA, 550 nt
Filed under: uncultured bacterium
Lineage: Bacteria
Description: partial 16S ribosomal RNA
Rfam family: Bacterial small subunit ribosomal RNA
Source: RNAcentral
UGGGGAAUAUUGGACAAUGGGCGCAAGCCUGAUCCAGCAAUGCCGCGUGUGUGAAGAAGGCCUUCGGGUUGUAAAGCACUUUUAUCAGGAGCGAAACGCUGUCGGCUAAUACCCGGCGGAACUGACGGUACCUGAGGAAUAAGCACCGGCUAACUUCGUGCCUGCAGCCGCGGUAAUACGAAGGGUGCAAGCGUUAAUCGGAAUUACUGGGCGUAAAGCGUGCGUAGGCGGUUUCUUAAGUCUGCUGUGAAAUCCCCGGGCUCAACCUGGGAAUGGCAGUGGAUACUGGGAGGCUAGAGUGUGUCAGAGGGUGGUGGAAUUCCCGGUGUAGCGGUGAAAUGCGUAGAGAUCGGGAGGAACAUCAGUGGCGAAGGCGGCCACCUGGGACAACACUGACGCUGAGGCACGAAAGCGUGGGGAGCAAACAGGAUUAGAUACCCUGGUAGUCCACGCCCUAAAGCGAUGCGAACUGGAUGUUGGUCUCAACUCGGAGAUCAGUGUCGAAGCUAACGCGUUAAGUUCGCCGCCUGGGGAGUACGGUCGCAAGACU